CCCCACACACCUGACCAUCGCUAUCCUCCUCUAAUAAGUAAUGAUAAAUGAUGGUUAAUUUUUUUUUUACUUUUUGUGCGUUUCUUCCUUUAUUUAUUUCAAAUACAAGUAUAGUUAGGAUAAAUUUUGGAGCAAAUUUGGAUGCUCAGAAUGCAGGAAAUGACAUUUCCGGGAGUCAAAUUUCAAAAAUUUUCUGGGGAG
This 201-nucleotide long non-coding RNA is filed under the name Paramuricea clavata. The record is from RNAcentral. Lineage: Eukaryota; Metazoa; Cnidaria; Anthozoa; Malacalcyonacea; Plexauridae.